GCUGGGUGUGGUGGCAUGCACCUGUGGUCCCAGCUACCCUGGAGGCUGAGGCAGGAGGAUUGCUUGAGCCCAGGAGGUCAAGGCUGCAGUGAACUGAGAUCAUGCCAUACUGCACUCUAGCCUGGGCAACAGAGAAAGACCCUGUCUCAA
This 150-nucleotide non-coding RNA is filed under the name Nomascus leucogenys (northern white-cheeked gibbon). Lineage: Eukaryota; Metazoa; Chordata; Mammalia; Primates; Hylobatidae. The record is from Rfam by way of RNAcentral.